Molecule: ribosomal RNA, 253 nt
Filed under: uncultured bacterium
Lineage: Bacteria
Description: partial 16S ribosomal RNA
Rfam family: Bacterial small subunit ribosomal RNA
Source: RNAcentral
UACGUAGGUGGCAGGCGUUGUCCGGAUUUACUGGGCGUAAAGAGCGCGCAGGCGGUCGUCCAAGUCGCGUGUGAAAGCCCCCGGCUCAACUGGGGAGGGUCACGCGAUACUGGUCGACUCGAAGGCAGGAGAGGGUAGUGGAAUUCCCGGUGUAGUGGUGGAAUGCGUAGAUAUCGGGAGGAACACCAGUGGCGAAGGCGGUUGCCUGGAGCUUUGCUGACGCUGAUGCGCGAAAGCGUGGGGAGCGAUCCGG